CCUACGGGCGGCUGCAGUGGGGAAUAUUGCACAAUGGGCGCAAGCCUGAUGCAGCCAUGCCGCGUGUGUGAAGAAGGCCUUCGGGUUGUAAAGCACUUUCAGCGGGGAGGAAGGCGUUAAGGUUAAUAACCUUGUCGAUUGACGUUACCCGCAGAAGAAGCACCGGCUAACUCCGUGCCAGCAGCCGCGGUAAUACGGAGGAUGCAAGCGUUAAUCGGAAUUACUGGGCGUAAAGCGCACGCAGGCGGUCUGUCAAGUCGGAUGUGAAAUCCCCGGGCUCAACCUGGGAACUGCAUUCGAAACUGGCAGGCUAGAGUCUUGUAGAGGGGGGUAGAAUUCCAGGUGUAGCGGUGAAAUGCGUAGAGAUCUGGAGGAAUACCGGUGGCGAAGGCGGCCCCCUGGACAAAGACUGACGCUCAGGUGCGAAAGCGUGGGGAGCAAACAGGAUUAGAUACCCGUGUAGUC
RNAcentral lists this ribosomal RNA (465 nucleotides) under uncultured Klebsiella sp. RNAcentral describes it as "bacterial SSU rRNA". It matches the Rfam family "Bacterial small subunit ribosomal RNA", at positions 338 to 795 of the family's 1533-position model. The record is from RNAcentral. Lineage: Bacteria; Pseudomonadati; Pseudomonadota; Gammaproteobacteria; Enterobacterales; Enterobacteriaceae.